GAUGAACGCUGGCGGCGUGCCUAAUACAUGCAAGUCGAGCGAACAGACGAGGAGCUUGCUCCUCUGACGUUAGCGGCGGACGGGUGAGUAACACGUGGAUAACCUACCUAUAAGACUGGGAUAACUUCGGGAAACCGGAGCUAAUACCGGAUAAUAUAUUGAACCGCAUGGUUCAAUAGUGAAAGACGGUUUUGCUGUCACUUAUAGAUGGAUCCGCGCCGCAUUAGCUAGUUGGUAAGGUAACGGCUUACCAAGGCAACGAUGCGUAGCCGACCUGAGAGGGUGUCCGCCAACCUUGAAACUGAGCCACGUUCCAGCCCCUUAGGGGAGGAAGCGGUGGGGAAUCUUCGGAAAUGGGCGAAAGUUUGAGGGAGCAACGCCGGGUAGGUGAUGAAGGCCUCGGAUUCGUAAAAUUUUGUUAUUGGGGAAAACCAAUUUGGAAAGUACUUAUCACGGUUUGGAGGUUCCCAAUCAGAAAGCCACGGCUAACUACGCG
RNAcentral lists this ribosomal RNA (496 nucleotides) under uncultured bacterium. Its description in RNAcentral is "partial 16S ribosomal RNA". It matches the Rfam family "Bacterial small subunit ribosomal RNA", at positions 28 to 507 of the family's 1533-position model. The record is from RNAcentral.